RNAcentral lists this ribosomal RNA (301 nucleotides) under uncultured bacterium. Its description in RNAcentral is "partial 16S ribosomal RNA". It matches the Rfam family "Bacterial small subunit ribosomal RNA", at positions 509 to 807 of the family's 1533-position model. The record is from RNAcentral.
CAGCAGCCACGGUAAUACGGAGGGUGCAAGCGUUAUCCGGAUUCACUGGGUUUAAAGGGUGCGUAGGUGGGCAGGUAAGUCAGUGGUGAAAUCUCCGGGCUUAACCCGGAAACUGCCGUAGAUACUAUCUGUCUUGAAUGUAGUGGAGGUGAGCGGAAUAUGUCAUGUAGCGGUGAAAUGCUUAGAUAUGACAUAGAACACCCAUUGCGAAGGCAGCUCGCUACACUAUUAUUGACACUGAGGCACGAAAGCGUGGGGAUCAAACAGGAUUAGAUACCCCCGUAGUCCCUGUCUCUUAUAC